UUGGUGUGAAUUGCAGAAUCCCGUGAACCCAUCGAGUCUUUGAACGCAAGUUGCGCCCGAAGCCUUUUUGGCCGAGGGGCACGCCUGCCUGGGCGUC
This 97-nucleotide ribosomal RNA is filed under the name Coriaria angustissima. Its description in RNAcentral is "partial 5.8S ribosomal RNA". It matches the Rfam family "5.8S ribosomal RNA", at positions 62 to 153 of the family's 154-position model. From Rfam's summary of the family: 5.8S ribosomal RNA (5.8S rRNA) is a component of the large subunit of the eukaryotic ribosome. Lineage: Eukaryota; Viridiplantae; Streptophyta; Magnoliopsida; Cucurbitales; Coriariaceae. The record is from RNAcentral.